GGUCUGAGAGGAUGAUCAGUCACACUGGAACUGAGACACGGUCCAGACUCCUACGGGAGGCAGCAGUGGGGAAUAUUGGACAAUGGGCGAAAGCCUGAUCCAGCCAUGCCGCGUGUGUGAAGAAGGUCUUCGGAUUGUAAAGCACUUUAAGUUGGGAGGAAGGGUACUUACCUAAUACGUGAGUAUUUUGACGUUACCGACAGAAUAAGCACCGGCUAACUCUGUGCCAGCAGCCGCGGUAAUACAGAGGGUGCAAGCGUUAAUCGGAAUUACUGGGCGUAAAGCGCGCGUAGGUGGUUUGUUAAGUUGGAUGUGAAAGCCCCGGGCUCAACCUGGGAACUGCAUCCAAAACUG
Molecule: ribosomal RNA, 354 nt
Filed under: bacterium LimC-100-A-307
Lineage: Bacteria
Description: bacterial SSU rRNA
Rfam family: Bacterial small subunit ribosomal RNA
Source: RNAcentral